Molecule: transfer RNA, 73 nt
Filed under: Asticcacaulis benevestitus DSM 16100 = ATCC BAA-896
Lineage: Bacteria; Pseudomonadati; Pseudomonadota; Alphaproteobacteria; Caulobacterales; Caulobacteraceae
Rfam family: tRNA
About the family: Transfer RNA (tRNA) molecules are approximately 80 nucleotides in length. Their secondary structure includes four short double-helical elements and three loops (D, anti-codon, and T loops).
Source: Rfam by way of RNAcentral
GGGCGAUUAGCUCAGCUGGCAGAGCGGCUCGUUUACACCGAGUAGGUCGGCGGUUCGAACCCGUCAUCGCCCA